AGGUACUGCCUGCCCAGUGAGGAAGACCCUUGAACGGCCGCGCAUAAACCGCGCAAAGGUAGCAUAAUCAUUUGUCCUCCAAAUAAGGACCAGCAUGAAUGGCAACAUGAGAAAGAAACUGUCUCUUUAAGUCGGUCAAUGAACCUGAUUUGCCUGUACAAAAGCAGGCAUAAAAAAGCAAGACAAAAAGACCCUGUGAAACUUUAAAUGUCCGUCAACCCUAUGACUAAGACAUUUUCGGUUGGGGCAACCAAAGAGAAACAAAACCUCAAAAAUGUUACACGGCAAACAAGCCCACUAACACCACCAGACCCAGUAUUACUGAUCAAAGAACCAAGCUACUCCAGGGAUAACAGCGCUACAUUCCUGAAGAGUCCAUAUCGACAGGAAUACCUACGACCUCGAUGUUGGAUUGAGACACCCAGAUGGCGCAAAAGCUAUCAAUGGUUCGUUUGUUCAACGAUUAAAGCCUCACAUGAUCUGAGUCAAAACCGGAG
Molecule: ribosomal RNA, 497 nt
Filed under: Cristidorsa otai
Lineage: Eukaryota; Metazoa; Chordata; Lepidosauria; Squamata; Agamidae
Description: partial large subunit ribosomal RNA
Rfam family: Bacterial large subunit ribosomal RNA
Source: RNAcentral